This 253-nucleotide ribosomal RNA is filed under the name uncultured bacterium. Its description in RNAcentral is "partial 16S ribosomal RNA". It matches the Rfam family "Bacterial small subunit ribosomal RNA", at positions 524 to 776 of the family's 1533-position model. The record is from RNAcentral.
UACGUAGGGACCAAGCGUUGUUCGGAUUUACUGGGCGUAAAGGGCGCGUAGGCGGCGAUGUAAGUCACUUGUGAAAUCUCUGAGCUUAACUCAGAACGGCCAAGUGAUACUGCAUUGCUAGAGUGCAGAAAGGGCAAUCGGAAUUCUUGGUGUAGCGGUGAAAUGCGCAGAUAUCUGGAGGAACACCGGUGGCGAAGGCGGCAUCCUGGACCAACACUGACGCUGAGGAGCGAAAGCUAGGGGAGCAAACGGG